AAGAUCGUGCUUCAUAGGAUCAUUUCUACAGUGCAAUCCCCGAGACGCAUCCGCGUACUCAGAACACUUGACCACGACCACGAUGAUGGGUUUAGGGUCUCCGCCCGAGCGCGAAGCCGGCUGUGGAGCUUCGGAUUCGAGCCACUGAUGACCGCUCCUACGGCCUUGAUUGGCUCGAAGGAGGGCGGACACCCAGUCUGAGUGGC
Molecule: small nucleolar RNA, 206 nt
Organism: Dermacentor andersoni
Lineage: Eukaryota; Metazoa; Arthropoda; Arachnida; Ixodida; Ixodidae
Product: small nucleolar RNA U3
Source: RefSeq, a predicted model, not a curated record